UACGGGGGGAGCAAGCGUUGUUCGGAUUUACUGGGCGUAAAGGGCGCGUAGGCGGCCACCGCAAGUCAAUUGUGAAAUCUCCGGGCUUAACUCGGAACGGUCAACUGAUACUGCGGGGCUAGAGUGCGGAAGGGGCAACUGGAAUUCUCGGUGUAGCGGUGAAAUGCGUAGAUAUCUGGAGGAACACCGAUGGCGAAGGCAGCCUUCUGGGCCAACACUGACGCUCAUGCACGAAAGCGUGGGGAGCAAACAGG
RNAcentral lists this ribosomal RNA (254 nucleotides) under uncultured bacterium. Its description in RNAcentral is "partial 16S ribosomal RNA". It matches the Rfam family "Bacterial small subunit ribosomal RNA", at positions 524 to 776 of the family's 1533-position model. The record is from RNAcentral.